Myotis davidii is the source of this 386-nucleotide long non-coding RNA. RefSeq lists it as uncharacterized. NCBI's taxonomy places the organism in Eukaryota, Metazoa, Chordata, Mammalia, Chiroptera, Vespertilionidae. The transcript has 3 exons. The record is from RefSeq and is a predicted model, not a curated record.
UACUCUAACAGGUUAUAUGGAGAUAUGAUGGCAAAAAACCAGAUACCUUAGGGCCAAAUACCCGGCUCUAUAAAUGGAUCCCCCAGAAUGACCUUCUUGGUCAUCCAAAAACCAAAGCCUUUAUAACUCAUGGUGGAACCAAUGGCAUCUAUGAGGCGAUCUACCAUGGGAUCCCUAUGGUGGGCCUUCCAAUGUUUGGGGAUCAACCUGAGAACAUUGCUCACAUGAAGACCAAGGGAGCAGCUGUCAGAUUGGACUUCAAUACCAUGUCUAGUGCAGAUUUUCUCAAUGCAUUGAAGACUGUCAUUAAUGACCCUUCAUAUAAGGAGAAUACUAUGAAGUUAUCAAGAAUUCAUCAUGACCAACUAGUGAAACCUCUAGAUCGA